UACGUAGGGGGCAAGCGUUAUCCGGAUUUACUGGGUGUAAAGGGAACGCAGACGGCAGUGCAAGUCUGGAGUGAAAGCCCGGGGCCCAACCCCGGAACUGCUCUGGAAACUGUGCGGCUAGAGUACUGGAGGGGCAGGCGGAAUUCCUAGUGUAGCGGUGAAAUGCGUAGAUAUUAGGAGGAACACCAGUGGCGAAGGCGGCCUGCUGGACAGUAACUGACGUUGAGGCUCGAAAGCGUGGGGAGCAAACAGG
Molecule: ribosomal RNA, 253 nt
Filed under: uncultured bacterium
Lineage: Bacteria
Description: partial 16S ribosomal RNA
Rfam family: Bacterial small subunit ribosomal RNA
Source: RNAcentral